This 266-nucleotide ribosomal RNA is filed under the name Escherichia coli. RNAcentral describes it as "partial 23S ribosomal RNA". It matches the Rfam family "Bacterial large subunit ribosomal RNA", at positions 1 to 258 of the family's 2925-position model. The record is from RNAcentral. Lineage: Bacteria; Pseudomonadati; Pseudomonadota; Gammaproteobacteria; Enterobacterales; Enterobacteriaceae.
GGGUUGUGAGGUUAAGCGACUAAGCGUACACGGUGGAUGCCCUGGCAGUCAGAGGCGAUGAAGGACGUGCUAAUCUGCGAUAAGCGUCGGUAAGGUGAUAUGAACCGUUAUAACCGGCGAUUUCCGAAUGGGGAAACCCAGUGUGAUUUGUCACACUAUCAUUAACUGAAUCCAUAGGUUAAUGAGGCGAACCGGGGGAACUGAAACAUCUAAGUACCCCGAGGAAAAGAAAUCAACCGAGAUUCCCCCAGUAGCGGCGAGCGAAC